This is a long non-coding RNA of Neofelis nebulosa (Clouded leopard), 2595 nucleotides long. RefSeq lists it as uncharacterized. The transcript has 2 exons. NCBI's taxonomy places the organism in Eukaryota, Metazoa, Chordata, Mammalia, Carnivora, Felidae. The record is from RefSeq and is a predicted model, not a curated record.
AUUCUUUUUUUAAGGCUUCAUAUUAACCUUAAUUUCUCUAUCUAAAUUUUCUAUAAAUGGGUAUGGUAUUUUAUUUUGUGUUACUUUGUAGUCAUUUAUUUGGAAGGUAAGAAAAGUAUUUACAUCAGCAGUUAUCAAAUGCUAAUUUAUAAACCACCUGCAUCAGAAUUAUCUGGGGAAUUUAAAUUUUAGGUCUCUACUCCAUGCUCUGUGCCGUCCUCUCAACAGUCUGAUUCAGCCUAGGGAUCUGUAUAUUUAAAAGCUUCCAAAGACAUUGUGGUAGGUAGCUGGAUUUGGGAAUCACUGGUCAAAAUAGUUUUGUGGAAAUUUGUGACUGGAGUUGUAAGGCAUCACUUGAUUGACUGCAUAAAGGACUAUAAACUUGUGAAUGUUCUAUUCACGUGCUCCCAACCAAACUAACCAGAAUUCAGAUUCACUGAAGCUAAACUACAAGCAUGGAUGUGAAAGAGUAAAGUUGGGCAUUCAGGAGAGGAAGUAAUUUACAAAUAGACCGUGUGUACUCUUACCUUUUGACAUAACCUUGAGCAGUUAAUCUUAAAUAGACUCUGUUAGGCAUAAAAAGCUCAAAGGCUUUUCCUUUAUAAAACUAACUAGCAGGAAUAGGGAAUACCUAUCAGGCUAGGUACCCAUACACACACUUACCCCUCCACACCCCCAACCUCCUCCCCACAUAUGUAUGCUUAGAGCUUUUUACCUCUUACUGCAUGUAAGAACCCUUUCUGUAGCCUCCUGGGAUGGUAGGAACUGUUCUACAACUGUAACCUUGGAAAGUUAAGACAGUAAAAAUAGGUUUCAAUUCUGAACACAAAAUCCGUAAAACUAACACCUAAGCAAGCACUUCUGUUCAAUUGUCGUACAUUAAGUAUUAAGAUUAUUUGGUGCCUUGUUUAAAAUGUAAAGUUUGGGGACAAAAUUAAAAAAUUAUGUGUGAAAACAUAUUCUAAAUGAAAUUUCAUUAAUUAGCAUACAGGAAUUAAGAAAGAGAAAAAAAUAGGGGCACCUGGGUGGCUCAGUCGGUUAAGCGUCUGACCUCGGCUCAGGUCAUGAUUUCACAGUUCGUGGCUCAAGCCCCACGUCGGGCUCUGUGCUGACAGCUCAGAGCCUGGAGCCUGCUUCAGAUUCUGUGUCUCCCUCUCUCUGCCCCUCCCCUGCUCAUGCUCUGUCUCUCUGUCUCAAAAAUAAAUUUAAAAAAAAUUUUUUUAAAAAUUUAAGAAAGAGAAAAACACGUCUUUGUAACUUCCCAAGAUUGUUUCAGUUAUAUGACUCCUAAAAAGAAAAAGUUUAUUUUUAUAAUCAUAAUUUUCCCUUUUAUUCAAAUCUUCCAUAUUAUUUUUUUAGAUUUGUAUUUUAGGUAAUUUUGAAUAAAUACAAAAUAAAUAACAGAGUGAAUUCCCAUGUACUCAGCACUCAGCUUCAAUAAUUGUCAACUCAUAUUUUAUUUCAUCCAUGCCCCUCCUAUAUUCUGGCAUGUAGCUCUUAAAGAUAAAUGCUAUUUUUUUAAAACAUAAUGUCAUUUUCACGCCAAAAUAACUUCUUAAUAUUAUUAUCAGCUAUGUAGCCUGUGUUCAAAUUUCUAAUUGUUUUGUACAUGUCGUUAGUGAUUUGUUGUUUGGUUUUUUUCCUUACAGUCUGUUUCUUUGAGUCAGAAUCCAGAGUUCCAUACGUUGCAAUUAGUUGACAUGUCUUCUAAGUCUCUUUUAAUCCAUAGGUUCCCCUUCUAUCUCAUCUUUUUCUUCAUAUAACUUACUUAUUAAAGAAACUGAGUCUUUGUUCUGUACAGGUCCCACAGUCUGAAUUUGGUUGAUUGCAUUUCCCUCGUGUUGUUUUAACAUGUUCCUCUGUAUUUCCUGUAAAUUGGGUUGUUGGUUCUGGAUCCAGAGACUUCAUCAGAUUCAGGGCAUGUUUCUUUGUUUUGCAUGACUGCUUCAUAGGAGGAGGUGUGUUUUCUUCACGAGAGAGACAAUGUCUACUUCUCUCUUUUUUUGGUGAUAGUAGCAUCUGUUAAUGAUCAAUGCCUAGCUCCACUAAUUCAUUAACCAUUACUAAAUACAUUAGAAUAAGAUGUUUUAGUAAUUCACUGUUACUAAAUACUAAUGUACAUUAGUAUGUAAAUGUAAUACUAAAGUAGAUACAUUACUAUUUAGUAAUAGUGAAUUACUAAAAUAUCUAAUUCUAUCAUUCACUCUUCAUUGAUGAGUUAGAAUACUUCAGGAAAGAAAACCUUCCCCUAUAUGUACUACAGUUACCCAGUGAUAGAGUUUUUUAUAGUAAAGUCAAGGUAAAUGUUCAAUUCUUUCUCUUUACUCACCAGUUUUCUAAGAUAAUGAAUUGAUUCACCCUCUAAUGGUGACUGUUUUGUUCAAGUAUCAUAAACACAUGUAUUUUCAAAUAUUUGAUGUAAUUAAAUGCAUUGUACUUUCUAUCUUUUGAUGCCCAUCAAAAUUAUCCCAUCUUUGGCCAUUGCAAGCCUUUUCAAGAUGACUUCCCAAGUCCUUUUGACAUUAAUUUAUCAGAUGGAAUGGUAUGGAGAGAGAGAAAAAAAAACAUUCUAGGAUAUAGUUUUGAAGAAGAUAA